UUCCAGACUCCUACGGGAGGCAGCAGUGAGGAAUAUUGGUCAAUGGGCUUACGCCUGAACCAGCCAAGUCGCGUGAGGGAAGACUGCCCUAUGGGUUGUAAACCUCUUUUGUCAGGGAGCAAUUGGCGCUACGUGUAGCGUUAUCGAGAGUACCUGAAGAAAAAGCAUCGGCUAACUCCGUGCCAGCAGCCGCGGUAAUACGGAGGAUGCGAGCGUUAUCCGGAUUUACUGGGUGUAAAGGGCGUGUAGCCGGGCUGACAAGUCAGAUGUGAAAUCCGGGGGCUCAACCCCCGAACUGCAUUUGAAACUGUUGGUCUUGAGUAUCGGAGAGGCAGGCGGAAUUCCUAGUGUAGCGGUGAAAUGCGUAGAUAUUAGGAGGAACACCAGUGGCGAAGGCGGCCUGCUGGACGACAACUGACGGUGAGGCGCGAAAGCGUGGGGAGCAAACAGGAUUAGAUACCCGCGUAU
Molecule: ribosomal RNA, 468 nt
Filed under: uncultured bacterium
Lineage: Bacteria
Description: bacterial SSU rRNA
Rfam family: Bacterial small subunit ribosomal RNA
Source: RNAcentral